This 1670-nucleotide long non-coding RNA is filed under the name Olea europaea subsp. europaea. The record is from RNAcentral. Lineage: Eukaryota; Viridiplantae; Streptophyta; Magnoliopsida; Lamiales; Oleaceae.
UAUCCCUGCUUUCUACAUAUAAACAUUUCUUUCAAAGAUACUUCCAAACAACAACAGCAAAGAGAUGAGAUGUAGGUGGUUUGGAGUUAAGAUGAAGGUAGAAUCGACGGGUCCAAGAUGAAGGGGAUAACAUUGGUAUUCUGACUGGGAUUGAUGGCUACCUGUUUUACACACAAAUUUUGAGAUUUGUUUUGAGGGUGGUAAGUUGAUUUAUUCUUUUCUUUUUCCUUGUGCUACAACUUCUAGGUUAUUUGAGCAUAUUACAGUUUUUUUUUUUUUUUUUUUGGGUUAAAGAUUUUUGGGACUCUGUAAUAAACUCUUUGUAGAAUUCUUCUUUGUUGGUUCUUGAUAGAUAAAUAAAUAUUGUAUCUAUUUUUAGAGUUUUAUUUCUCUAUGCACACUUGUGUCUGGUUGAAUUCCUUUGUUUUCUUAUUUUAUUUUAUUUUUUUGGAUUUUUUUGUGUGUGUGGUUAUAUGCUUAUUUUAAUGAAGACCAAAAACUGGGGCAAAGUCUCACUCAAAUGGAUUGUGAUUCUGUGCAUUUUCAGCUUUGUACUUGGCACACUUUUCAGCAACAGGUUCUUUAAUUUUUUUCAAUUUUUUAUUUAUCUUAUGUUUUUUCUUCGUAUUUCCUCUUCAUAUUUCACAACUUCAGGAAGAAUUUUUGUUUUUCACUUCUUUAUUUCAAUUGAAGAAUUUUGUGGUUACUGUGACUUCAGAAGAACCUUUUUCCCUCAUUGGAGAAAUAGCUUGUUGUUGUUGAUUAGUUAUAUCGACUUAAUUAUCAAAUUACGCCGGAUAUUCUUUAAGCAUGUUAUGAUGUUAUAAGUAAUCUAAAUUACCUAGAUUACUCUUUAUCCUCUUGUGAUCGAUUGUCUUGCUUUGACAAGUGAUAGUUGUUCUAUGAUGUGAAUAGCUUAAAACGACUUCACUAUGUCUGGUUCCAUUUACCUUCUAUUUCCAUAGUUAUUUUUUCCUCAAUAAUCUAUUAUUAAUAUAACAAGAACUUCUAAAAUUGGAAGGAAAGUAUUGUGAAGAUCUCUUUUUUUUUUUCCUUGUUUAUCAUAUUCCUUGAAUGAGACAAAUUAAUGUUAUUUCUUUGACUACAGGACAGAAGCGUGCUCAUUCAAUCACUAUCAACGAAUCUUGAUUUUCCUAGAAACAAAGUAAGCAUGUGAAGUACAUCAAUAUGUUUUCCAAUUAAUGUUGUACCAUAUGGCAUGUUCAUAUUGGAUGAUGUGAUGAACUUCAUUCAACUUUGGCAACUAAGAAUGUUGUUUGAAUUUUUCGUCUUAUUAUUUAGAGGGUGUGCAAGUACAUUAAACAUCAGUUGUACCGUAACAUAAUCAAUUUAUUUGAUAUUUUAUACCAAGAAUCUGGUGCUUCUGUCUUUAUUGAUUUAAUUAAUACGUGCAAUAGUAGUAAUACUCAUGGGAAUUAAAGUAUUUUAAAAUUUUGAAUGUAUGAGAUAUUAUGGUUUUUUAGAUUGAAGCCAUAUGUAUAAGAAUAAACAAAGACACAGAAAAAUAGAAAAAGAAAAAACGGUAGCAUCAUUCAAAUUACCACAAAUUGUCAUAUUCUCUUUGUUUUGUUACAAAUUACAGUUGAGUUUGUGUUGUUGAAGCUGUUACCUUCUUUUGGGUGUUGUUUUUGGUUCAACAGCAGACAAAU